UACGUAGGGUGCAAGCGUUGUCCGGAAUUAUUGGGCGUAAAGAGCUCGUAGGCGGUUUGUCGCGUCGAAUGUGAAAACCCGGGGCUCAACCCCGGGCCUGCAUUCGAUACGGGCAGACUAGAGUUCGGUAGGGGAGUCUGGAAUUCCUGGUGUAGCGGUGAAAUGCGUAGAUAUCUGGAGGAAUACCGGUGGCGAAGGCGGCAUCCUGGACCGAGAUUGACGCUGAUGAGCGAAAGCUAGGGGAGCAAACGGGG
RNAcentral lists this ribosomal RNA (254 nucleotides) under uncultured bacterium. RNAcentral's name for it is "partial 16S ribosomal RNA". It matches the Rfam family "Bacterial small subunit ribosomal RNA", at positions 524 to 777 of the family's 1533-position model. The record is from RNAcentral.